GGUUGUGGCUCAGUGGCAGAGCGCUUGCCUAGCAUGUGUGAUGCACUGGGUUUGAUUCUCAGGACCA
Molecule: transfer RNA, 67 nt
Filed under: Marmota monax (woodchuck)
Lineage: Eukaryota; Metazoa; Chordata; Mammalia; Rodentia; Sciuridae
Description: tRNA.Ala
Source: RNAcentral